UACAGAGGGUGCAAGCGUUAAUCGGAAUUACUGGGCGUAAAGCGCACGUAGGGGUUUUUUAAGUCAGAUGUGAAAGCCCCGGGCUCAACCUGGGAAUUGCAUUUGAAACUGGAAAACUAGAGUGUGAGAGGGGGGUAGAAUUCCAAGUGUAGCGGUGAAAUGCGUAGAGAUUUGGAGGAAUACCAGUGGCGAAGGCGGCCCCCUGGCACAACACUGACGCUCAGGUGCGAAAGCGUGGGGAGCAAACAGG
Molecule: ribosomal RNA, 250 nt
Filed under: uncultured bacterium
Lineage: Bacteria
Description: partial 16S ribosomal RNA
Rfam family: Bacterial small subunit ribosomal RNA
Source: RNAcentral